This 488-nucleotide ribosomal RNA is filed under the name uncultured Propionibacterium sp. RNAcentral's name for it is "bacterial SSU rRNA". It matches the Rfam family "Bacterial small subunit ribosomal RNA", at positions 8 to 507 of the family's 1533-position model. The record is from RNAcentral. Lineage: Bacteria; Bacillati; Actinomycetota; Actinomycetes; Propionibacteriales; Propionibacteriaceae.
AGAGUUUCGUAUCCUGGCUCAGGACGACGCUGGCGGCGUGCUUACACAUGCAAGUCGACGGAAAGGCCCUGCUUUUGUGGGGUGCUCGAGUGGCGAACGGGUGAGUAACACGUGAGUAACCUGCCCUUGACUUUGGGAUAACUUCAGGAAACUGGGGCUAAUACCGGAUAGGAGCUCCUGCUGCAUGGUGGGGGUUGGAAAGUUUCGGCGGUUGGGGAUGGACUCGCGGCUUAUCAGCUUGUUGGUGGGGUAGUGGCUUACCAAGGCUUUGACGGGUAGCCGGCCUGAGAGGGUGACCGGCCACAUUGGGACUGAGAUACGGCCCAGACUCCUACGGGAGGCAGCAGUGGGGAAUAUUGCACAAUGGGCGGAAGCCUGAUGCAGCAACGCCGCGUGCGGGAUGACGGCCUUCGGGUUGUAAACCGCUUUCGCCUGUGACGAAAGCGUGAGUGACGGUAAUGGGUAAAGAAGCACCGGCUAACUACGUG